This 117-nucleotide ribosomal RNA is filed under the name Tridacna crocea. Its description in RNAcentral is "5.8S ribosomal RNA". The record is from RNAcentral. Lineage: Eukaryota; Metazoa; Mollusca; Bivalvia; Cardiida; Cardiidae.
CGUGAACCAAAAGACCGCUGAUCGCUCCUAGAACUAAUGUGAAUUGCUGAACCACAUUUGUAACAUAGACCUUUUCUCGCACAACUUUGCCUGCCGGAUACUUCUUAUGCCACGCCU